UACGUAGGGCGCAAGCGUUGUCCGGAAUUAUUGGGCGUAAAGAGCUCGUAGGCGGUCUGUUGCGUCCGCUGUGAAAACUCGGGGCUUAACCCCGAGCCUGCAGUGGAUACGGGCAGACUAGAGGUAGGUAGGGGAGAAUGGAAUUCCCGGUGUAGCGGUGAAAUGCGCAGAUAUCGGGAGGAACACCGGUGGCGAAGGCAGUUCUCUGGGACGGUACUGACGCUGAGACGCGAAAGCGUGGGGAGCGAACAGG
Molecule: ribosomal RNA, 253 nt
Filed under: uncultured bacterium
Lineage: Bacteria
Description: partial 16S ribosomal RNA
Rfam family: Bacterial small subunit ribosomal RNA
Source: RNAcentral